Misgurnus anguillicaudatus (oriental weatherfish) is the source of this 281-nucleotide long non-coding RNA. RefSeq lists it as uncharacterized. The record is from RefSeq and is a predicted model, not a curated record. NCBI's taxonomy places the organism in Eukaryota, Metazoa, Chordata, Actinopteri, Cypriniformes, Cobitidae.
AAAGAUCAAGUUUUAUGUCAAACACACUUGGAUGAGACGUGCCCGACCCCUGACUUUGUCUACCUUACAUUAAGUUGUGAUGGCACACUUCAUGACAGUAAACAUCGGUAUCAAGGUGGUGUGAUUGAUCUAUACCCUAGAAUAAGCUGUGACACUAUGAGACGGUCACAUAAUGAAGAGCCAUCUUCCAGACAACCGGAAGAGGCAUAGUAUUGUUUUCUUGUCUAUUGUCAUGCACCUAAAGAGGAUUUUUGUAAUCGUACAGUUAUGGUGUUAUUCAU